Long non-coding RNA from Acanthochromis polyacanthus (spiny chromis), 1961 nucleotides. RefSeq lists it as uncharacterized. Lineage: Eukaryota; Metazoa; Chordata; Actinopteri; Pomacentridae. The record is from RefSeq and is a predicted model, not a curated record. The transcript is spliced from 2 exons.
GAGUCUGGUCAGUAUGCUCAGCUGAACGGCUAAGUGGUUAGAUGAAGAUUUUCACCUGCAAAAAGUGUUGCUGCACGCACAGGAGUGCUCUGGGUCGCACACAGCAACGAUGAUAGGUCAAGCUUUUGAAACCAUGCUUGUAAAGUGGAAUAUAACAAAAGACAAAGUGCAUGUUGUGCUCAGGGAUAACACACGCAAUAUGACCAAGGCUAUGGAGGACCGUGGGCUUGCAAGCUUAGGCUGGAUGGCACACACUUUACGGCUCGCUGUAAACGAGGCUGUGCUGAGCCAGAGCAGGAAAAUAGUUGGUCACUUCAAGAACUCUCAAUUUGCCACCCCAUCUGAAAGAUUUACAGACACAACUAGGCACAAAAGACACAAGACUUCAACAAGACGUGCCCACCAGGUGGAACAGCACGUUUUACAUGCUGAGAAGUUUGUCAGAGCAGAGGCGAGCCUUGCAGCUUAUGCAGUAGAUUUCGAGUUACCUGUGUUUCUGAGCACAUAUCAAUGGACUUUAAUUGAGAACUUGGUAACUAUACUUGACCCAUGUGAACAGCUGACAAAAGACAUCAGCUCAGCUACAGCCACAGCAGCUGAUGUGAUCCCCUCUAUUGAAGCCCUAAAACGUCUGUUAAACAAGACUGUUGUAACAGAUCAUGGAAUUAAAACUUCAAAGAGCACCUUACUGCAAGCCAUAGAGCAGCGAAUCAGUCACAUCUGUACAGAGCCUCUGUUCUAUCUUGCUGCAAUCUUGAACCCCAGAUGGACUGCCAUUUUAACUAAGCAACGAAAAGGGAAGCAACAGAAAUUCUGCGUGCCAAGGUGAGUGUUGGAGAAAAUGUGGAUGAGCCAAAAAGGAAGAAGUCCUAGGCGGAUGACAACAACAAUGCUACGAUGUCACAUUAGAGCUUACACAAAGCCAAGCAGAAGGACAGAUAAAAGAAUAUCUGUCAAAGCCCCCGAUUCCCAGAACUGAGAGCCCGUGGUAUACUGGAGAAGCAACAAAUCCCGGUUCCCUAGCAUUGCCUCACUUGUACAGAAAUACCUGUCAGCCCCUUGUACAAGUAUAGACAGUGAAUGCUUGUUUUCUGCUGCCGCAAAUGUUAUUGAUGAAAGAAGAAACAGAAUUGGGUGUGAGAAGGCAGAGAUGCUACUCUUUAUCAAGAAAAAUCUUCCACUGAUGCCCUCACAUAAAUGGAAAAGACAAAUAAAAGGACAUUGGACAAAGUGAAAAGAGAAAAGAUGUUAAGUUGAAAUUGAAAAAUUUACAUUUUUUAAAUUUUUAUUUUCAGCUAACAUUUCAGAGAAAUCUGUACUCUAUUCUAUGCAGCUAAAACAGCAAUAAGUCUGCAAAUGCUUUUUGUUGAGAGAUGCACUUUAUUUUCAUGUUUUUGGAUUUAUGGAGUUGAGGUUGACAUAUGUCAAUGCAUUUAAUUUAUUUCAUAGUUGAAAAAUAUGUGACUCAAAAACUACUUCAUCCUCAGGCUCUAAAGGUUGUAUUAUUUUGUUAUGUAUAAAAUGCUUGAAUAUAAAUUUUGUUAUUUCCAGAUAAACAAGUCACAGUUCUGUGAAACCCUUUUCUCGAAAGAUGCAAUUUUUGCUUUAGUUGGAAUUUGAUCUCAGUACAUUUGAUACACAUACAUUUUCAUUUACAGCAACUGACCAAAGGCAUAAGGUUUUAGUUUUGAAAAGUGUAGCAGCCUGUGUAAACAAUCACAGAAGAUUUUAUUUAGACUUAUUUUUGUUUGAGAAAAUGCACUGUGCUAUUCAUUUUAGCUGUUUGAUAUUUUCGCAAAAAUACAAAGGUUGUGCAACAAAAUAUUAAGUUAUGGGUACCAUCAUUUUUGUCCAGCCCUAUUUCAUUAGUUUGUUUUUUUAAAUAAUUAUGUUAAUCAACAAUUCAAAAGUAAUGGCUGUUUUUGAUUAUUUAAUUUUCAAUAAAUUUUUAUUUAUUGUUA